GUGCUGGACUGCUCAUAGACUUAUCCUCUCCAAGUGAAAUAUUUGAAUUCAGCAAAAGUGGUGGCCCCAAGGCAAGACAACUACUGGAAGAAUUAAUGUCAGCAGAUUAGAGCACUUCUCCAAGCAGGACCAGUUAGUUGCUAAUGUAGAGAGAAAGCUGAGCCAACAUAUGGUUGCGCAGAAAAAGAGCGGGCAGCUUUCAGAGAUCUUUCAGAGAUUUCAGCAUUGCAGUAACUUGACUCCUACAUAGUGAUGUCAUUUUGGUCGUCUUUGAGAAUGAAGGACAGCAACCAACCAACCAAAGUUGAGAGGAGGUGUAUGGGAUUUGUGACAUUGCAAGCUCUCUUGCCUUCCCCUCACCUCAAGUUCCCCAGCUCCAACUAAACAAAGAGGCAGGAAGGUUGCCAUUAGCCAUGAAGUGGCUCCUCAUCACCAUUGCCCUCACCCUUCUUGUUACAGGAUCUAAGAGGGCACACUCAGAAGUUCAAAAAAACAGCUCCAGUAGUCCGAGUUGUCCAUCAUGUGCAAAAGCCAGGAAUGAAGACAAAGAAAAAAGAAAUGCUGAGGGAAAGACAGAUGAACCUCUUACAUCUGAACUUGCAGGGCAGCAACGUUUGCUGCCACCAUUUUCAUGGCAAGACUUGAAAGAGGAAUGGAACAGACCAUUUUCACCUGCUUUGUCAGAGGAGGAAAUAGCUAAAAAAAAUGAUUCCAAUGGCUUACUCUGCCCAUCUUGCAAUGUGCUAGGAGCUCAGCGAAUCUGCAAGGAAGAAUUCAAGUGGUGUAUCCACCAGAACAAGAGUUGCCUCACUAUUUACGGAAACACAAAAAUGGACAGGCAGGGUUCUAGGCUCCAUGGAUUAAAAGCCUGAACCAGGGGGUUAGAAGAGAAGGCAAGAGAAAAGAGAGAAGGGAAAGCUCAUUUCUGGUUCCUUGUGGGUGAGUCUUACUAUGACAUAAUAAUGAAGAGCUGUGGCACUGAAGAAGAUUGUCAAGGAGAAAUUAAGACUUUAUAUGGUUUCCCAUUCCAGACUAAGGAGAAAAUGUGUGUGAAUGCUAGACCCUUUUUUGAAUCCAAAGGCCCAGUUUUGUUCUCCUUUCCAGCUCUACUGGUCUUCCUUCCAUGGGUGCUGCUUUUCGGAGUAACCUUAUGGCAGAUUUAGCCAGCCAGCCACUAAAUCACAGAAACUGAAAUUUCUAAUUAG
This 1205-nucleotide long non-coding RNA is filed under the name Phascolarctos cinereus (koala). RNAcentral describes it as "lncRNA (ENSPCIG00000016229.2)". Lineage: Eukaryota; Metazoa; Chordata; Mammalia; Diprotodontia; Phascolarctidae. The record is from RNAcentral.